Molecule: long non-coding RNA, 671 nt
Filed under: Coffea arabica (coffee)
Lineage: Eukaryota; Viridiplantae; Streptophyta; Magnoliopsida; Gentianales; Rubiaceae
Description: long non-coding RNA (CARA_LNC001100)
Source: RNAcentral
AGUUGCUCUAUGAAUAGUAUUUUUUUUUGUCAAGCGAUUAUCCUGUAAUUUUGGGAAUAAAAGAUGGAGUUGGUGUAUGAAUAGUAAAUUUUUUGUCAAGCGGUUAUAAGGUAAUUUUGGGCAACUUUGUUGGCUUUUGUAUUUGUUGGCUUUUUCCUUUUUUUUUCACAAAUUAAAACAUUUAAUCAAUAUAAUCACAACAAUUAUUUUUGGGAGGGAGUUGGCUUAUGAAUAGUGAAUUUUUUGUCAAGCAUUUAUAAGGUAAUUUUGGGCAACUUUGAGGGCAAAUUUGUUGGCUUUUUCCUUUUUUUUUUGCACAAAGUAAAACAUUUAGGGUCCGUUUGUUUCGGGUGAAAAUGUUUUACAGGAAAAUAUUUUCCUAAUUUCUCGUGUUUGGUUGCACAAAAGUUACUGAAAAUAUUUUCACUCAUCUUCCCCGUACCACUCAACCCAAUCCAACCCUCCCCCUCGUAUAUUCAAAAUAAAAAAAAAACCUCAUCCUACUCAUCAUAUGCUAGUAAUUAAUUAUGUAUAAUACGGACAUUCUUUUCUAGAGAAACUUUCAGCAGUGAGAGUGCAAGAUAUAUAUCAAAAUAACCAUUGCAUGUGAUUGAUAUUUGACACUAAAUGGCCAGCAAUUCGUUUAUUGCUUAAGGAGAUAUUUUUUAUUC